Pyrgilauda ruficollis (rufous-necked snowfinch) is the source of this 1827-nucleotide long non-coding RNA. RefSeq lists it as uncharacterized. Lineage: Eukaryota; Metazoa; Chordata; Aves; Passeriformes; Passeridae. The record is from RefSeq and is a predicted model, not a curated record. The transcript has 4 exons.
CGCACCGGCGGCCAUUGCGGGGCACCGCGGCGGCAGGGCACCCCCCAGCCCUCAGGGACACCCUCCCCGCGGCCAUCGCCCGCCCCGCGUUACCGAGCUGCUGCCGCGCGGCCAUGGCGCCGUCGGAGUACUGACAGGAGUUUCAUCUAUGGAAAGUCCUCUCGCAGAGCUUCCACACGGGCAGAGGCAAAGCACUCAUUUAAGAAGUCUGAGUUAUUUAAGCGGGAAGCAAGGAAGUACAUUGUUCUGAUAUCUGCUGUCUCCCUUGAGGAUGCUGUUUGCCAGGCACUGGGCCUCAGUUUCUCCAGUCUCCCAGAGACCACAGUCUUGCAAGAACUUAUCUAUGCCCCUUACUGAGUACUAUGGGAUUAAUUACUGCUAAAGUCUCCUGGAGGCUUCAAGUGCCCUGUCUCAGAUGCUGCACAACAGCAGAGGUCUGUAAGGCAGAGGAAGUGGAAAUCUGUGCAGUACCUGGACAUGGACAGGAGUCCACCUCGAAGUCCCGCUGCUGGUCUGCUGUUGUCAUUUGUGCAUUUUGAAGCUACCCCUAACAAACUUGCCCAGCUUCACAGGAGAAUUUCCUGCCUCCACCCAGGCCCUUAGACCCCUGUCUGCUACGCUCGUUUGCUUCAUGUUUACUUAAUUAGCCAGCUGGAGCAUAAUUCCUUUCAUGAUCCACGGUCUAAUACAUAAAGAUGACAGUGACAUGAAUCUUGGCUUAGGUUUCAAUUUGCAUGUUAAUUCAUUGUGGUUCCCCAGAUAGCUGGAAUUUGCUCCAACAGGAUCUGGGAGAUGAUGAAAUGGGCAGGGUGUUCUCCUGUGUCCCAGUGAGGGCCUGGAGCGAUAGGUGACAUAGUUUUACUGUCCACCAGGCACCAUCUCUGGUAGAUCUCCAGCAAAAAGCAAAGCAAAGGUGAAAAGCAAAGCCAAAAUCCUAGAUGAGGAGCUUUUCUUAGUACAAAAUGCAAACAGAGUCAUGGCUCUGGUAGUUGAGAAGCAUCUGGAAAUCAGUGAAGCCUGGUGAGAGAGCCUGCAACAGAUUAAGAAGGAGCAGUGAUUUUACAUAGCAAUUCAGCCCCAGUCAUCUCUGGUUCACAAAGCCCUCGACACACUUAUCUAGAGAAGAGAGAGACUCCAGGCAGGGAGGAAACAGUGAUUUCCCUGAGUGGCAGACAAGCCCAUGUUGGCUGUGAAGGGUUUAGGCACAAACCCCAUCACUCCCUGGGACUCAUCUUUCUGUGUAACAUCCAGGAGCUGGCUUACAGGGAAGGAAACGCUGCGAGCCUGUGUUCAGUUCCAGCUCUCUGGGGGAGACUGAGUUCCAGGCUCACAGGAGACUGACAGCAAACACAGGCAGAGCUGAAAAAACAGCGCCUUGCCAAAGGUGGCACGAGCUCUCUGGGACAGACAGCCGUAGGUGGUUAUUUAUCUGUUACAUUAGAGCUGACUGAGAUCCAGACCCUGGAGAGCCGGGAUCCAGGAUAAAAACAGGGCUUGCCGCAAGACCCUGUGAGCUGAAUAGAAAUCAUGGCUAAAUAGGAGGAUGGGAAGAGAGACAGUUGUGUGAAGAGGCAUGGCCAGCAUCACACAGCAGGCAGUGCCACAGCCAGCGAGCCUUGGAGCAGUCUCUAGCUGGCAGAUGGGUUUAGUUGCAGCAAAUCAUCCAUUUUCAGAUUUUGCUGAUUUCACACAGUCUAAUUUUAAUAACAGAAGAAAAGAGUGAGACAUUUUUUCAUAAAUCACUUGUUCCUUUCCUUUGUUUUUCCUCCCAAGUAACUGCACUAGGUAACUGUGUUUCGGCCUUAGAAACAUGGAUAAUAUUUUAAU